Molecule: ribosomal RNA, 484 nt
Filed under: uncultured bacterium
Lineage: Bacteria
Description: partial 16S ribosomal RNA
Rfam family: Bacterial small subunit ribosomal RNA
Source: RNAcentral
AUUGAACGCUGGCGGCAGGCCUAACACAUGCAAGUCGAGCGGAUGAAGGGAGCUUGCUCCUGGAUUCAGCGGCGGACGGGUGAGUAAUGCCUAGGAAUCUGCCUGGUAGUGGGGGAUAACGUCCGGAAACGGGCGCUAAUACCGCAUACGUCCUGAGGGAGAAAGUGGGGGAUCUUCGGACCUCACGCUAUCAGAUGAGCCUAGGUCGGAUUAGCUAGUUGGUGGGGUAAAGGCCUACCAAGGCGACGAUCCGUAACUGGUCUGAGAGGAUGAUCAGUCACACUGGAACUGAGACACGGUCCAGACCCCUACGGGAGGCAGCAGUGGGGAAUAUUGGACAAUGGGCGAAAGCCUGAUCCAGCCAUGCCGCGUGUGUGAAGAAGGUCUUCGGAUUGUAAAGCACUUUAAGUUGGGAGGAAGGGCAGUAAGUUAAUACCUUGCUGUCUUGACGUUACCAACAGAAUAAGCACCGGCUAACUUCGUG